GACGAACGCUGGCGGCGUGCUUAACACAUGCAAGUCGAACGGAAAGGCCCUGCUUUUGUGGGGUGCUCGGGUGGCGGGCGGGUAAGUAACACGUGCGUACCCUGCCCUUGACUUUAGGAUAACUUCAGAGAACUGGGGCUAAUACCGGAUAUGAGCUCCUGAGGCGGGGUGGGGAUUGGAACGUUUCGGCGGUUGGGGAUGGACUCGCGGCUGAUCAGCUUGUGGGUGGGGUAGCGGUUGACCAAGUCUUUGACGGGUAGCCGGCCUGGGAAGUGGACCAGCGACAUGGGGACUGAGAGACGGCCCAGACUCCUACGGGAGGCAGUAGUGGGGAACAUGGUACAACGGGCGGAAGCGUGAGACAGCAACGCCGCGGGUGUGAUGUCCGCUUUCGCGGUGUAAAACGGUUCUGCUUGUUACGCAGCGUGAGUGACGGUAAUGGGUAAAGAAGCACCGGCUAACUACGUG
RNAcentral lists this ribosomal RNA (468 nucleotides) under uncultured bacterium. Its description in RNAcentral is "partial 16S ribosomal RNA". It matches the Rfam family "Bacterial small subunit ribosomal RNA", at positions 28 to 507 of the family's 1533-position model. The record is from RNAcentral.